AAGUUCAAGAAAUAUACCAAUACUGUUCUUCACUUACAUCUCAUAAUUAGCAAGACAAUGAGGACCGUUGGCACAUCUCUUUGCAUUGCUCUGGUGAUUAUGUCUUCAACACUCUCAUCCUGCUAUGAUUGUACGUUUAUAACAUCUCAUGGGCUUACAAUAAUUUUAUUCAUGCAUGGUUUUAAAAUCCAGCUGUGUUUCAUAUAUGCAUGCAGUUCCAGUCAUAGUUAUUCAUUUACCUGGAUGCACUUUUGCGCUUUGCCUCAACGAAUGCUCGAAGUUUGCCAGUAGGACUGGCCAAGUGUUACAGAGAUCCUACUGUGAGAAGAUGGGUGAUUGCUGCUGUGUGUUAGGUCACCAAUUAGCUGCUGCAGAGGAUGAUAAAGGAACUUUUGUUUGAACAGGAUUAAAAUUGAGACAGAUGAUGGAUGGGAUCCUUACAUAUGUAUCAAGGCAGGCAGUACCAUAUGCUCUUGCAUCAAACUUACAUGGCGAUGCCCUGUUUCCAUCUAACUGUAAUAAAAUAAUUGUGUGACUUUCCUAUACUAUUGUUCACCCGAUUCAUCCAUUAUUUUGGUUACAACUAAAUUAUUUCAGGCCAUACUGAGUUUUGUACUAUAACUGAACUUUUCAGGCCACCAAAUAGACGUGGUCAUUCCUCAGGUUUAGUCAAGUUAUGCAAAACCCGAGCGUGAAAUCCUUACUAUCAUGAAACCACCCAUGAAUCAAUCGGACUAUUGCACAUGAUGUUGCCUGACACCAGUGACCUUGUCGCAGUUUGCCUGAUAGAAGGGGCU
This 797-nucleotide long non-coding RNA is filed under the name Sorghum bicolor (sorghum). RNAcentral describes it as "long non-coding RNA (SBIC_LNC009519)". Lineage: Eukaryota; Viridiplantae; Streptophyta; Magnoliopsida; Poales; Poaceae. The record is from RNAcentral.